AUCCGGCUGACGAGUCCCGAAUAGGACGAAACGUGCGUCCUGGAU
Non-coding RNA from Schistosoma mansoni, 45 nucleotides. NCBI's taxonomy places the organism in Eukaryota, Metazoa, Platyhelminthes, Trematoda, Strigeidida, Schistosomatidae. The record is from Rfam.